CAGUAGCCGCGGUAAUACGAAGGGUGCAAGCGUUAAUCGGAAUUACUGGGCGUAAAGCGUGCGUAGGCGGUGAGUUAAGUCUGCUGUGAAAUCCCCGGGCUCAACCUGGGAAUGGCAGUGGAUACUGGCUCGCUAGAGUGUGUCAGAGGAUGGUGGAAUUCCCGGUGUAGCGGUGAAAUGCGUAGAGAUCGGGAGGAACAUCAGUGGCGAAGGCGGCCAUCUGGGACAACACUGACGCUGAGGCACGAAAGCGUGGGGAGCAAACAGGAUUAGAUACCCCGGUAGUCCCUGUCUCUUAUAA
This 301-nucleotide ribosomal RNA is filed under the name uncultured bacterium. RNAcentral's name for it is "partial 16S ribosomal RNA". It matches the Rfam family "Bacterial small subunit ribosomal RNA", at positions 509 to 809 of the family's 1533-position model. The record is from RNAcentral.